Molecule: ribosomal RNA, 253 nt
Filed under: uncultured bacterium
Lineage: Bacteria
Description: partial 16S ribosomal RNA
Rfam family: Bacterial small subunit ribosomal RNA
Source: RNAcentral
UACGGAGGGUGCAAGCGUUGUCCGGAUUUAUUGGGUUUAAAGGGUGCGUAGGCGGGCAGGUAAGUCAGUGGUGAAAUCCUAGAGCUUAACUCUAGAACUGCCGUUGAUACUAUCUGUCUUGAAUAUUGUGGAGGUGAGCGGAAUAUGUCAUGUAGCGGUGAAAUGCUUAGAUAUGACAUAGAACACCAAUUGCGAAGGCAGCUCGCUACACAUAUAUUGACUCUGAGGCACGAAAGCGUGGGGAUCAAACAGG